UUUAUUGGAGAGUUUGAUCCUGGCUCAGGAUGAACGCUGGCGGCGUGCCUAAUACAUGCAAGUCGAGCGAACGGAUUAAGAGCUUGCUCUUAUGAAGUUAGCGGCGGACGGGUGAGUAACACGUGGGUAACCUGCCCAUAAGACUGGGAUAACUCCGGGAAACCGGGGCUAAUACCGGAUAACAUUUUGAACCGCAUGGUUCGAAAUUGAAAGGCGGCUUCGGCUGUCACUUAUGGAUGGACCCGCGUCGCAUUAGCUAGUUGGUGAGGUAACGGCUCACCAAGGCAACGAUGCGUAGCCGACCUGAGAGGGUGAUCGGCCACACUGGGACUGAGACACGGCCCAGACUCCUACGGGAGGCAGCAGUAGGGAAUCUUCCGCAAUGGACGAAAGUCUGACGGAGCAACGCCGCGUGAGUGAUGAAGGCUUUCGGGUCGUAAAACUCUGUUGUUAGGGAAGAACAAGUGCUAGUUGAAUAAGCUGGCACCUUGACGGUACCUAACCAGAAAGCCACGGCUAACUACGUGCCAGCAGCCGCGGUAAUACGUAGGUGGCAAGCGUUAUCCGGAAUUAUUGGGCGUAAAGCGCGCGCA
Molecule: ribosomal RNA, 593 nt
Filed under: Bacillus cereus
Lineage: Bacteria; Bacillati; Bacillota; Bacilli; Caryophanales; Bacillaceae
Description: bacterial SSU rRNA
Rfam family: Bacterial small subunit ribosomal RNA
Source: RNAcentral